AGUGAACGCUGGCGGUAGGCCUAACACAUGCAAGUCGAACGGCAGCACAGUAAGAGUUUGCUCUUACGGGUGGCGAGUGGCGGACGGGUGAGGAAUACAUCGGAAUCUACUUUUUCGUGGGGGAUAACGUAGGGAAACUUACGCUAAUACCGCAUACGACCUACGGGUGAAAGCAGGGGAUCUUCGGACCUUGCGCGAUUGAAUGAGCCGAUGUCGGAUUAGCUAGUUGGCGGGGUAAAGGCCCACCAAGGCGACGAUCCGUAGCUGGUCUGAGAGGAUGAUCAGCCACACUGGAACUGAGACACGGUCCAGACUCCUACGGGAGGCAGCAGUGGGGAAUAUUGGACAAAGGGCGCAAGCCUGAUCCAGCCAUACCGCGUGGGUGAAGAAGGCCUUCGGGUUGUAAAGCCCUUUUGUUGGGAAAGAAAAGCAGCAGGUUAAUACCCCGCUGUUCUGACGGUACCCAAAGAAUAAGCACCGGCUAACUUCGUG
RNAcentral lists this ribosomal RNA (492 nucleotides) under uncultured bacterium. Its description in RNAcentral is "partial 16S ribosomal RNA". It matches the Rfam family "Bacterial small subunit ribosomal RNA", at positions 29 to 507 of the family's 1533-position model. The record is from RNAcentral.